CCUACGUUUAGGGGUACAUCCAGAAACGGGGGGAAUUGCUGUACUGGAUAAGGGGAUUAUGAUGCAGGCUGAGGGGAGGAGAUGUGUGGGAGGUUACCAGGACAGGAUUGGCUACUGUACUAAUGACUGUAAAUCCCUCCCUUGCAUGGGAGCAUGCUUUAAAAGGCCAGUGUGGAAUAAAGCUUUCAGUUCUUUUCCUGAAACCGUGUGUCGUCCAGUUAUUGGGAUUGCUGUGGGGAUACUGCUGUUAUUUUGUCUGCUGGAAACCUUGC
Molecule: non-coding RNA, 272 nt
Organism: Pelobates cultripes (western spadefoot toad)
Lineage: Eukaryota; Metazoa; Chordata; Amphibia; Anura; Pelobatidae
Source: the annotation of a GenBank genome assembly